Molecule: ribosomal RNA, 478 nt
Filed under: uncultured organism
Description: partial 16S ribosomal RNA
Rfam family: Bacterial small subunit ribosomal RNA
Source: RNAcentral
ACGUACACUCCUACGGGAGGCAGCAGUAGGGAAUCUUCCACAAUGGGUGCAAACCUGAUGGAGCAAUGCCGCGUGAGUGAAGAAGGUCUUCGGAUCGUAAAGCUCUGUUGUUAGAGAAGAACACGUGCUAGGUAACUACUAGCGCCUUGACGGUAUCUAACCAGAAAGUCACGGCUAACUACGUGCCAGCAGCCGCGGUAAUACGUAGGUGACAAGCGUUGUCCGGAUUUAUUGGGCGUAAAGGGAGCGCAGGCGGUCUGUUUAGUCUAAUGUGAAAGCCCGCGGCUUAACCGUGGAACGGCAUUGGAAACUGACAGACUUGAAUGUAGAAGAGGAAAAUGGAAUUACAAGUGUAGCGGUGGAAUGCGUAGAUAUUUGGAGGAACACCAGUGGCGAAGGCGAUUUUCUGGUCUAACAUUGACGCUGAGGCUCGAAAGCGUGGGGAGCGAACAGGAUUAGAAACCCGGGUAGUCCCAUG